CUAAGCCUACGGGAGGCAGCAGUGAGGAAUAUUGGUCAAUGGGCGGGAGCCUGAACCAGCCACGUCGCGUGAGGGAAGACGGUCCUACGGAUUGUAAACCUCUUUUGCCGGGGAGCAACGGGGUCCUUGCGAGGGCCCAAUGAGAGUACCCGGAGAAAAAGCAUCGGCUAACUCCGUGCCAGCAGCCGCGGUAAUACGGAGGAUGCGAGCGUUAUCCGGAUUUAUUGGGUUUAAAGGGUGCGUAGGCGGGCUGUUAAGUCAGCGGCCAAAUGUCGGGGCUCAACCCCUGCCUGCCGUUGAAACUG
Molecule: ribosomal RNA, 305 nt
Filed under: uncultured bacterium
Lineage: Bacteria
Description: bacterial SSU rRNA
Rfam family: Bacterial small subunit ribosomal RNA
Source: RNAcentral